GCUUGCUAGAUAUGAUUAGUGGCGGACGGGUGAGUAACAUUUAGGAAUCUGCCUAGUAGUGGGGGAUAGCUCGGGGAAACUCGAAUUAAUACCGCAUACGACCUACGGGUGGAAGGGGGCGCAAGCUCUUGCUAUUAGAUGAGCCUAAAUCAGAUUAGCUAGUUGGUGGGGUAAAGGCCCACCAAGGCGACGAUCUGUAACUGGUCUGAGAGGAUGAUCAGUCACACCGGAACUGAGACACGGUCCGGACUCCUACGGGAGGCAGCAGUGGGGAAUAUUGGACAAUGGGGGCAACCCUGAUCCAGCCAUGCCGCGUGUGUGAAGAAGGCCUUUUGGUUGUAAAGCACUUUAAGCAGGGAGGAGAGGCUAAUGGUUAAUACCCAUUAGAUUAGACGUUACCUGCAGAAUAAGCACCGGCUAACUCUGUGCCAGCAGCCGCGGUAAUACAGAGGGUGCGAGCGUUAAUCGGAAUUACUGGGCGUAAAGCGAGUGUAGGUGGCUCAUUAAGUCACAUGUGAAAUCCCCGGGCUUAACCUGGGAACUGCAUGUGAUACUGGUGGUGCUAGAAUAUGUGAGAGGGAAGUAGAAUUCCAGGUGUAGCGGUGAAAUGCGUAGAGAUCUGGAGGAAUACCGAUGGCGAAGGCAGCUUCCUGGCGUAAUAUUGACACUGAGAUUCGAAAGCGUGGGUAGCAAACAGGAUUAGAUACCCUGGUAGUCCACGCCGUAAACGAUGUCUACUAGCCGUUGGGGUCCUUGAGACUUUAGUGGCGCAGUUAACGCGAUAAGUAGACCGCCUGGGGAGUACGGCCGCAAGGUUAAAACUCAAAUGAAUUGACGGGGGGCCCGCACAAGCGGUGGAGCAUGUGGUUUAAUUCGAUGCAACGCGAAGAACCUUACCUGGUCUUGA
Molecule: ribosomal RNA, 907 nt
Filed under: uncultured sponge bacterium
Lineage: Bacteria
Description: bacterial SSU rRNA
Rfam family: Bacterial small subunit ribosomal RNA
Source: RNAcentral